This 149-nucleotide ribosomal RNA is filed under the name Anaeromyces robustus. Its description in RNAcentral is "5.8S ribosomal RNA". It matches the Rfam family "5.8S ribosomal RNA". From Rfam's summary of the family: 5.8S ribosomal RNA (5.8S rRNA) is a component of the large subunit of the eukaryotic ribosome. Lineage: Eukaryota; Fungi; Neocallimastigomycota; Neocallimastigomycetes; Neocallimastigales; Neocallimastigaceae. The record is from Rfam by way of RNAcentral.
AACAUUUAACAAUGGAUCUCUUGGUUUUCUCAAUUGUGAAGAACGCAGCAAAAUGUGAUAAGUAGUGUGAAUCAUCGAAAUCUUUAAUGGCAUAUUGUACUUUUUUAAUUUACUAAUUUACUAAAAAAAGUAUAUCUGUUUGAGUAUCA